RNAcentral lists this ribosomal RNA (253 nucleotides) under uncultured bacterium. RNAcentral's name for it is "partial 16S ribosomal RNA". It matches the Rfam family "Bacterial small subunit ribosomal RNA", at positions 524 to 776 of the family's 1533-position model. The record is from RNAcentral.
UACGUAGGGUGCAAGCGUUGUCCGGAAUUAUUGGGCGUAAAGAGCUCGUAGGCGGUUUGUCACGUCUGCUGUGAAAACUGGAGGCUCAACCUCCAGCUUGCAGUGGGUACGGGCAGACUAGAGUGUGGUAGGGGAGACUGGAAUUCCUGGUGUAGCGGUGAAAUGCGCAGAUAUCAGGAGGAACACCGGUGGCGAAGGCGGGUCUCUGGGCCGUAACUGACGCUGAGGAGCGAAAGCGUGGGGAGCGAACAGG